Molecule: ribosomal RNA, 460 nt
Filed under: uncultured bacterium
Lineage: Bacteria
Description: bacterial SSU rRNA
Rfam family: Bacterial small subunit ribosomal RNA
Source: RNAcentral
UACGGAAGGCAGCAGUGGGGAAUAUUGCACAAUGGGCGAAAGCCUGAUGCAGCUAUGCCGCGUGUAUGAAGAAGGCCUUAGGGUUGUAAAGUACUUUCAUCGGGGAGGAAAAAACAAAACUAAUAAUUUUAUUUCUUGACGUUACCCGAAAAAGAAGCACCGGCUAACUCCGUGCCAGCAGCCGCGGUAAUACGGAGGGUGCUAGCGUUAAUCAGAAUUACUGGGCGUAAAGAGCACGUAGGUGGUUUUUUUAAAGUCAGAUGUGAAAUCCCUGGGCUUAACCUGGAACUGCAUUUUGAAACUGAAAUACUAGAGUAUCGUAGAGGGAGGUAGAAUUCUAGGUGUAGCGGUGAAAUGCGUAGAUAUCUGGAGGAAUACCUGUGGCGAAAGCGGCCUCCUAAACGAAUACUGACACUGAGGUGCGAAAGCGUGGGGAGCAAACAGGGACUUAGAUACCCGU